UACGAAGGGUGCAAGCGUUGUUCGGAUUUACUGGGCGUAAAGCGCGCGCAGGCGGAUAAAAAAGUCAGGUGUGAAAUCUCGGGGCUCAACCCCGACACUGCGCCUGAAACUCUUUAUCUAGAAUCUUGGAGGGGGUAGGGGAAUUUCUCAUGUAGGGGUAAAAUCCGUAGAGAUGAGAAGGAACACCGGUGGCGAAAGCGCCUACCUGGACAAGAAUUGACGCUGAGGCGCGAAAGCGUGGGGAGCAAACAGGAUUAGAUACCCUGGUAGUCCACGCCGUAAACGAUGAGUACUAGAUAUAGCGGAAUUUGACUUUCGCUGUGUCGAAGCUAACGCGUUAAGUACUCCGCCUGGGAAGUACGGUCGCAAGACUAAA
Molecule: ribosomal RNA, 376 nt
Filed under: uncultured bacterium
Lineage: Bacteria
Description: bacterial SSU rRNA
Rfam family: Bacterial small subunit ribosomal RNA
Source: RNAcentral